AUGUCUAUCUCUUUCUCUAGUAAUUCUGUAACUCACAUGUGUACUACUUGUGGUGUUAGCAAAGUCUCUCUUCUCAGGGAAUUCUGUAACAAAACAGGAGUACAGAUUACAUUGAAGGAUUACUAGUUUUCCUGACUGCUCCAUUCAAUGAAGAUGAUAUUGCCUGUAUUGUACCUGUUGUUAAGUACACUGAUUUUAAACCUCUUGAAGCCUCUGGUUUGUAUGAGUUGGCUCAGGUUCAGUUGCAGUCUGGUAAUAUUGAAGUUGCUCUUGACCAUCUAUC
Amphimedon queenslandica is the source of this 283-nucleotide long non-coding RNA. RefSeq lists it as uncharacterized. The transcript is spliced from 3 exons. The record is from RefSeq and is a predicted model, not a curated record. Lineage: Eukaryota; Metazoa; Porifera; Demospongiae; Haplosclerida; Niphatidae.